CAGCCGCCACGGUAAUACGAGGGGAGCUAGCGUUAUUCGGAAUUACUGGGCGUAAAGCGCACGUAGGCGGCUUUGUAAGUUAGAGGUGAAAGCCCAGAGCUCAACUCUGGAAUUGCCUUUAAGACUGCAUCGCUUGAAUCCAGGAGAGGUGAGUGGAAUUCCGAGUGUAGAGGUGAAAUUCGUAGAUAUUCGGAAGAACACCAGUGGCGAAGGCGGCUCACUGGACUGGUAUUGACGCUGAGGUGCGAGAGCGUGGGGAGCAAACAGGAUUAGAUACCCGUGUAGUCCCUGUCUCUUAUAC
Molecule: ribosomal RNA, 301 nt
Filed under: uncultured bacterium
Lineage: Bacteria
Description: partial 16S ribosomal RNA
Rfam family: Bacterial small subunit ribosomal RNA
Source: RNAcentral